This 806-nucleotide ribosomal RNA is filed under the name uncultured Streptococcus sp. RNAcentral describes it as "bacterial SSU rRNA". It matches the Rfam family "Bacterial small subunit ribosomal RNA", at positions 65 to 857 of the family's 1533-position model. The record is from RNAcentral. Lineage: Bacteria; Bacillati; Bacillota; Bacilli; Lactobacillales; Streptococcaceae.
CGCUGAAGGAGGAGCUUGCUUCUCUGGAUGAGUUGCGAACGGGUGAGUAACGCGUAGGUAACCUGCCUGGUAGCGGGGGAUAACUAUUGGAAACGAUAGCUAAUACCGCAUAACAGUAGAUGUUGCAUGACAUUUGCUUAAAAGGCGCAAUUGCAUCACUACCAGAUGGACCUGCGUUGUAUUAGCUAGUUGGUGGGGUAACGGCUCACCAAGGCGACGAUACAUAGCCGACCUGAGAGGGUGAUCGGCCACACUGGGACUGAGACUCGGCCCAGACUCCUACGGGAGGCAGCAGUAGGGAAUCUUCGGCAAUGGACGGAAGUCUGACCGAGCAACGCCGCGUGAGUGUAGAAGGUUUUCGGAUCGUAAAGCUCUGUUGUAAGAGAAGAACGAGUGUGAGAGUGGAAAGUUCACACUGUGACGGUAUCUUACCAGAAAGGGACGGCUAACUACGUGCCAGCAGCCGCGGUAAUACGUAGGUCCCGAGCGUUGUCCGGAUUUAUUGGGCGUAAAGCGAGCGCAGGCGGUUAGAUAAGUCUGGAGUUAAAGGCUGUGGCUUAACCAUAGUACGCUUUGGAAACUGUUUAACUUGAGUGCAAGAGGGGAGAGUGGAAUUCCAUGUGUAGCGGUGAAAUGCGUAGAUAUAUGGAGGAACACCGGUGGCGAAAGCGGCUCUCUGGCUUGUAACUGACGCUGAGGCUCGAAAGCGUGGGGAGCAAACAGGAUUAGAUACCCUGGUAGUCCACGCCGUAAACGAUGAGUGCUAGGUGUUAGACCCUUUCCGGGGUUUAGUGCCGCAGCUAACG